GGGGCUUUAGCUCAGCUGGCUAGAGCGCCUCGCUUGCACCGAGGAGGUCAGGGGUUCGAAUCCCCUAAGCUCCA
Molecule: transfer RNA, 74 nt
Filed under: Caudoviricetes sp.
Lineage: Duplodnaviria; Heunggongvirae; Uroviricota; Caudoviricetes
Description: tRNA-Ala
Rfam family: tRNA
About the family: Transfer RNA (tRNA) molecules are approximately 80 nucleotides in length. Their secondary structure includes four short double-helical elements and three loops (D, anti-codon, and T loops). Further hydrogen bonds mediate the characteristic L-shaped molecular structure. tRNAs have two regions of fundamental functional importance: the anti-codon, which is responsible for specific mRNA codon recognition, and the 3' end, to which the tRNAs corresponding amino acid is attached (by aminoacyl-tRNA synthetases). tRNAs cope with the degeneracy of the genetic code in two manners: having more than one tRNA (with a specific anti-codon) for a particular amino acid; and 'wobble' base-pairing, i.e. permitting non-standard base-pairing at the 3rd anti-codon position.
Source: RNAcentral